Molecule: non-coding RNA, 1192 nt
Organism: Oncorhynchus mykiss (rainbow trout)
Lineage: Eukaryota; Metazoa; Chordata; Actinopteri; Salmoniformes; Salmonidae
Source: RefSeq, a predicted model, not a curated record
CUCCUUGAUUACUCCCCUUUUAUUUGGCUCUCAGUAGACAGCAAUCACUAGGUGUUAUUGUUUUCUCUUACAUUCUGUAUACUUCAUGUUUUGGUCAUCUGCAGUGCUUCAUUAUUAAACUCACCUUCUGCACCUGCUUCCUGACUCCCGGCAUAUUAUGUUACAGACGUCCAGACAGUGCACAAUUGAGACAGAACUGUAGCUAGCUAGCCAACCUUCUUCAACUUUCUCCUAGACUAUCAGCUUUUCAUACUAUAAGGUCUCUAUUAGUGGUCCUGCUGGGCCAGCACCUACAACUCCGCCAGCAUCUGCUGUUUAGACUCCUCCAUUGAGGACUGCAAUGAACUUGUCAAUGUUCAGUAAUAAAGGUUUGGGAGCUCUCAUGUGUCUGCAGCAAUACCAAACCUUAACUUAGCACGGAAGCCUGUUCAGAUGUCCGUAGCCCAGCCAAGUUGUCUACAGCCUUUGUGAGUGCCCCCAACCUUGCAUUGGCCUCUUGAGUGCCCAAAUCCUUGCAUCGCUGUCUAUCACCCAGUUGUGCUAUCUGCGGAGUUAGCUCCAGGUAAAUGUUGCAAUUCUUCAGCCAUUCCUGGACCUGCGACCAAAAUCACCUACAUAUGGACAGUACGAAAACAAAUGACCUAAUGAUUCUGUCUCUUCGCAGAAAAAUCUGCAUUCUAUUGGUUGUAAGAAUGUUGUAUAAUAAUUUAAACACAAAAACUCAAAGUUUUGAAUCCGGUGUCGUUUUGCAUAUCAGUUCAUAAAUCAUGUGCCAUGGAACCAGUACAGUGAACAUCUCUUCCCAAAUAUUUUGAAAUCUAUUUUGCACAGCUGUCAAUGUUUUGGUCCUUAAUUUUCUAUAACCAAUUUAGAUCUUUAAUGCAGGGCCAACAGAUGAGUUCCCUACUCCCCCCCCCCCUUCUUCUUGCCUCCUCCUUUUUUGUGGUAAUGCUGUAAUCAGUUGGUUGUAAUUUUGGGUAGAGCAGACAUUUCCAUAUAUUUAUGUUAGCUGAUUGUGGAACAUAACUCCAACAGUCCUAUUUAUGAUACAUUUAACAGAGAUUAUACAUGUUUUAAUCAAUUAGUAUAUUUGAGUUUAACCACAAUAUUUCUUGUAUUAUUUGUCUUUUCUUGUGGAUUAAAUUGAAAUUGCAAACAACUUUCUAUGGUUUGUUUUAAAAAUAAAAUGUUG